GUUGUUCUCGUGCUGUUAUCAUGAAAACAAGUAUGGUAGGUGGCCAUUUUGGUGAAGGUGGUCGCUAUGCUCAGUGCGAUGAAACAGCUUAUGAAUAUGCUUUCUUCAUGAAAGCUUUUGGAAUGUUAAAUGAAUAAGUUAAUCUAUUAGGCCAGCUGCAGCUAGGUUAUUUUCAUCAGUGGAAGACUUGCCAUGGAAAAAAGGACGAGUUCUUUCAAUCCUCAUAGUUAGUGUACAGUUUUUUUCCCUCCUAUUUUGAUUCUCCGGUGUCAUUCUUCGAAGGUAAAUGUUUUCAAAUGCUAUAAAGUGUGUCACUGCUCAAUGAUUCUUGUUAUAUUUUAUCAAAGAAAGGUAAUUGGAUGCGCACGCCCUAGUUAACAGGAGUUGCUGUUUUGGGAUAGGGAAAUGAGGAGACUCACAUGUUGUUAGAAACUCAUGCUCAUGACAUUAUAAAAUUUGCAUUGUUUGAACUUGUUAUGUAGUGACUUCCUAUUGAUCAAGUGAACUUGUUAUGUACUUGACUCUUGCAAUGUUAUGAGCAAGGAUAUGGGCUUCAUUGAUUCGGGAUUGCAGACUGAGCACAAUGACUUAGGGGGCCAAAAUGAUCAUGAUUAAACCUAAGAAGUGGAAUUACUAUAUUUCCAUUAGGUAUAGAAGAUUGAUGGCUCACUAGUUUGUUUUUGAGUAUGUUCGGAAUGAUCUAGAAUAAGCGUGGCUAUAUAAGAUCUUGUAGUUUCUCUAUCAUUACAAUCAAUGAAAUUAUUCAUAUCUCUUGUUUAUCUCUCUAUU
RNAcentral lists this long non-coding RNA (789 nucleotides) under Medicago truncatula (barrel medic). Its description in RNAcentral is "lncRNA gene30903". The record is from RNAcentral. Lineage: Eukaryota; Viridiplantae; Streptophyta; Magnoliopsida; Fabales; Fabaceae.